GACGUAGGGCGCGAGCGUUGUCCGGAUUUAUUGGGCGUAAAGAGCUCGUAGGCGGCUUGUCGCGUCGACUGUGAAAUCCCGCGGCUCAACUGCGGGUCUGCAGUCGAUACGGGCAGGCUAGAGUUCGGCAGGGGAGACUGGAAUUCCUGGUGUAGCGGUGAAAUGCGCAGAUAUCAGGAGGAACACCGGUGGCGAAGGCGGGUCUCUGGGCCGUAACUGACGCUGAGGAGCGAAAGCGUGGGGAGCGAACAGG
RNAcentral lists this ribosomal RNA (253 nucleotides) under uncultured bacterium. Its description in RNAcentral is "partial 16S ribosomal RNA". It matches the Rfam family "Bacterial small subunit ribosomal RNA", at positions 524 to 776 of the family's 1533-position model. The record is from RNAcentral.